Long non-coding RNA from Neolamprologus brichardi, 1534 nucleotides. RefSeq lists it as uncharacterized. The record is from RefSeq and is a predicted model, not a curated record. Lineage: Eukaryota; Metazoa; Chordata; Actinopteri; Cichliformes; Cichlidae.
CAGCCAUCUAUUUUCAGCCUGAGCUUUUACAGGAAAUAUUCUAGUUUCGUCUCUUUUGCUCAGUUCCAUGAUUUCAAUAAAGGGAACUUCAACAAAGUUAGCGAACGGUGCUUAUGAUGAGCUACAUGAUUACGCUCACGACGCAGACCUUGACCCACAACACUGAAGCAGCACUUCAAGACCAUGUAUACCAAUGGCACGGGAGGAAAUAACACAGUCAGUGACAGUUCCUCCAACUCUUCUACAAAUCUAGGAGUCGGGCUUGGGGUCUUCUUUUUGCUGCUUGCGAUCAUAGUUGGUGUAAUCAUUUAUAAAUUCUACGGUAUAAUCGCCAAUGUGAUGCUGUUUAGACAAAGAACAGCGCAAGAAAAGGAGGAUCACUCAGAGACCCCACAAGCAGAUUCCCAUGAAUAUACUGGUAUGAUUCGAGAGCAGUCGAUAGGACAAUCUUCUAUCUAUGAAAACCUGAAACCUCAAACUCGUGGCUACAGCAUGGAAGCUUCAAACCAAAGCAGGUUCCCAGUCGAAUCUGAUGACGACGUGUACCUGCAGUGCGACGUCAUAGAUGAGGCCAUAUACAUUAAUGACCAAUCACAUGACUGUCAAGAAGAAGACGUGUACGUUUUGCCAGAUUAAUCACGGGGCACAUUUGUAGAAAGGCCUGCGCAUUUUGCUCCACUUGUUGUAUGCAGCAAGCUGUCUCUUUUGAUUUCUGUCUCUGUUUUUGUAUAACGAUGUACAGCUAAAAGUCAGCACACUGCUACUGCUGCUUUUUGAUACAGACUGACUGUAAACAGAAAUGACUGGAUGGUAGCAACAUGUCAGUGUUAUCUGUUAUCUCCCAUUUUGGAGGAGAGUAACAAACCUUUUUUUUUUUUUUUAAAUUUAAUCCACUCCCUCCUGGUACGAUUAUCUAUGUUACACAUCUUUGAUUGCUACUAUUAUUGGCACAUCUCAUAUUACAACCACGCUGGAAAACACUGUACAAAUUUUGACAGCAGUCCAAGGUAAUCAAGUUUGUGAUUAGAUUAGAUUGUUUUAUGGUGUUCUCUUGUAGUUACAGAUGAGGCUUUACUUUGACCUUUGGAGAGAAGUGUGGGCAGUCUAUCUGAGGUUUUGUGAGUCGUGUGUGUUCAGUAUUGUCCUUUUUCUCUCACUGGAAAUUCUUCACUUGGUCCUAAAUCAAAUCUAGAAACAUUUAACUUGGGUAGAUAUUGACAUCGUGUUAUGUUUUUAGUAUUUUGCUAAACAAUGCGUCCAAAAUAAAUCCACGGUUUUAAAAACCAAACUACAGAUAUGGAUAUGGACACACAUAUCUUUGGAAUUCCCCUUUUUGUGCAAAAACGUUUAACUACACACUGAAUCUUUCAGAUACCUUCAUAUGAGAAAGAAUGAAGUGCAGUUUCAACAGUACAUCUCAGUUUUUCUGCUGGAGUAAAGAAAAAAAUAUACUAACAUGAAGAAACAAAUGUGUAAAAUUACCGAAAAGGUUCUGGCAGAUUAUUGCAAAGACUGUCCUGCAAUAAUAAAGCAA